CAAUAAUUUAUUAACAAAUAAAUAUUAAGAUUAAAAUACAAAAUCAAUAUACAGUAUAUGCAAUAUAAUAACUUAUAGGGAUAAAACGUCACACGAAACCUCUCUGACUGUAAAUAUUUCUACAAUAUUUACUCGUCGAAGGCUAUCAAGUCAUAUAGCCAAAAAUUGUGAAAAUAAAUAUUUACAUGCAUGCAUGCAGUCAGAGAACCAUUUAAUAUUUCACAGAGUACUCCGUUUGACCGUAAAUUCUAGAACCAAAGGGGCGGGAUUACAGUUGGAUUUAGAGAAAUGUGGCGGAUAAACAAGAAAGGCCGUUGUUUUCAAAACGGAAAGCCCAUUUCUGCAAACAGAGAUGUAAUAUUGCAGACGAAAUCAAAUUUUAGAUUUUGUUGAUGUAGCGAUGAACUAUAUUUGUAAUGUGCAAGUCAGGAGAAGCAAAUGCGAAGGCCUUUAUCGUGAUAUUUUUCUCCUUCUCUAACAAUCCUUUUAUUUGAAAGUUGAAGUAAGACGACGAGAAAUCAACUUCCGUGUCGUCAACUUCGGUUGUAAGACGUGCAUGUUUCGAAUCCAUCGUAAGAGAAACUCAUUAGAUUUUCUUCUAUCAUAAAAACGAGCGUUGGUCUCUUUGCAGCAUAAUAGUCGUAAAUAAUUAACUUUCACUAUGGACAUAGUUAUCGACAACUUUAUUUAGCAAAAACAACAAUGGCAACGAAGUGCAUGGCACGCAUUAAACGGCUUCUAUCUAUUGCGCGCCAACUGUAAUCCCGCCCCUUAGAAAUAUUGUCAUUGUCACAGCCCAACGUGCUUUGCGAACGCAUGCUGCUAGAUCAUGUUGUUUUACUAGGAGAAGAUGGGUUGAUCUUUGUGAUUGAUAAUUUUGGAGGAUGAUAUGGAAGUUGAUUUGUCAAAUAAAAGGAUUGUUAUAAAAGGAGAAAAUAUAACGACAAAGGACUUCGCAUUUGAUUCUCCUGGCUUGCACAUUACAAGUAGUUCAUCGUUAUACAGUGGGGGUCAAAAGCAGUGGCGUACUACGCAGACCUUCAUUUUGGAGGGGGGGGGGGACUCAUGCAAGGCAUGAGACCGUCUGGGGGGGGGGGCGGGGGCAUGCACCCCCAAGAAAAUUUUAAAAUCUAGAUCCCCUGAAAUGCGAUUUCAAGCAUUUUGGGAGUGAAAUCUUGGACAAUUCUGAAAAUUAUUUUCCCAGACAUUUCUCCUCGGAGUUAAAUAAGUCACCUUACCUUGAAAAGUCACCUUGAAAAGCCACCUUAUACGCCACUGGUCAAAAGUCUGAGUCCAGUCAAUAUGAUCUUGCCUUUUUAUAUUGAUAUACAAUACAUUUUGACACAACACACUACUAUAUGUGCAACAAAUAAGGAUAAUUUUACACUACCGUUGGAAUUGAUUAUACUAUAUUAGCCAAGUGAAUAUUAUAUUGAUAUUUGUGUGACCUCCUUUUGAUUUUAAAACAGCUUAUACUCUUCCUGGCAUACAUGUAGACUGAACAAAUUUUGAUGGUUUUUUCUUAGUAUUUAAUAUGGUUUUUCUUAGUAUUGAUGGUUUUCAAGGUUAUUCCAGAAUUAUUGAUUAACAACAUGCUAUUGGUUGGCUGCUUUUAGUUGUGGGAUUAUGUUUCACUUUUCAUAAAUU
Molecule: long non-coding RNA, 1647 nt
Filed under: Paramuricea clavata
Lineage: Eukaryota; Metazoa; Cnidaria; Anthozoa; Malacalcyonacea; Plexauridae
Source: RNAcentral